Molecule: ribosomal RNA, 293 nt
Filed under: uncultured bacterium
Lineage: Bacteria
Description: partial 16S ribosomal RNA
Rfam family: Bacterial small subunit ribosomal RNA
Source: RNAcentral
AACGAACGCUGGCGGUAUGCUUUACACAUGCAAGUCGAACGAACUUAGGCCUAGCUUGCUAGGAACGGUUAGUGGCAAACGGGUGAGUAACGCGUGGGAACCUGCCUUAUAGUACGGAAUAGUCCCGGGAAACUGGGUUUAAUACCGUAUACGCUCUUCGGAGGAAAGAUUUAUCGCUAUAAGAUGGGCCCGCGUUAGAUUAGCUUGUUGGUGAGGUAAUGGCUCACCAAGGCAACGAUCUAUAGCUGGUUUGAGAGGACGAUCAGCCACACUGGAACUGGGACACGGUCCAG